GCCCCUGAAGUCCCCAGAAUNNGAGCAGCGGUUUUGUAAACCGCCGGUCAUGGGUUCAAGUCCCUUCACCGGCUCCG
Molecule: transfer RNA, 77 nt
Filed under: Chloroflexota bacterium
Lineage: Bacteria; Bacillati; Chloroflexota
Description: Chloroflexi bacterium (freshwater metagenome) tRNA-Thr
Rfam family: tRNA
About the family: Transfer RNA (tRNA) molecules are approximately 80 nucleotides in length. Their secondary structure includes four short double-helical elements and three loops (D, anti-codon, and T loops).
Source: RNAcentral